RNAcentral lists this ribosomal RNA (229 nucleotides) under uncultured bacterium. Its description in RNAcentral is "partial 16S ribosomal RNA". It matches the Rfam family "Bacterial small subunit ribosomal RNA", at positions 568 to 796 of the family's 1533-position model. The record is from RNAcentral.
UGCGUAGGCGGGCUAAUAAGUCAGUGGUGAAAUCUCUCGGCUCAACCGGGAAACUGCCAUUGAUACUGUUAAUCUUGAGUUCGGUUGAGGUAGGCGGAAUGUGUAAUGUAGCGGUGAAAUGCUUAGAUAUUACACAGAACACCAAUUGCGUAGGCAGCUUACUAGACCGACACUGACGCUGAGGCACGAAAGCGUGGGUAGCAAACAGGAUUAGAUACCCUGGUAGUCC